CUCCUCCAUCCUUAUUCCUCAACUUUGGACAACAUCUCCUCCGCUCCAUCUCCUAGCUAUCUUUUUCUCUCUAUUUUUGCUCCGACUUCUUUUUUAUUUGUUAAUAUCGAUUUGUUGCCGUUUAUAAAUGAUUCUCAUCGUUUUUUUUUUGCAGUUUUCUAUGAAGGUUUAGUUGAACAUGGGGAAAUCAAGAGUUGCUACUCACAGAAAAACUGAUGCGAAGCUGGUUCAUGAGUUUCUCUGUCUUGAUUAUACUUAUCAUCAAUGAUGAAGAGUAAACGUGGAGAUGCGAGCAAGGAGGUUGUGAAGGAUCCGAACAAGCUUAAGAGGCCUGCAAGUGCCUUAUUCGUUGUCAUAUACGUUUCGUUUUUCCAAUGAUUUACUUUUUAAUUUUAUCUAGAGAGGAUUUUUUGGCUAAAAAUUUUUAAGAUUUAUUUUCCACUUUGUUUCGAUUUUUGGACCUCUUGGUGUUUCAAAGACACAAACCAACACACAACCCACAUAUUAAUAACAUUAUCACUCCUACCUGUUAAUUUUAUUAUUUUUUUCAGAUAAAAUUUGAGGCCAAAGUUGUUCGCUUUUUUAGUUUCUGCUGCUGCUCGGCUGCCUUCAGACUAUGUCGAAACACUGUCGUUCUGCAUGCAACCGAGCUUCUCAAUUUCUUAAUUUCUAAACAUUUGAGAUCUUCUUUGGUUCCUAUGCUAGCUUUGUGUGUCUCCAUCUCCAAAUAAUUUAGUUGAAAAUCACUAAUACGCAUGCAAAUUUGAAAGGGUUUUGAUCUUUCGAUGAGUUUAAAAUGUUUGUUGGUGGUUGGUUGUAUUGCUGUCAAAUAUUUGUUGGAUAGUUUGGAACGGAGAAGUUGGUUGAUUUAGAGAAACUGAAUACACAAGGAAUUUGGAAGAGUUUUUGGUCUUAUAUUGGUUUAAACUACUUUUUUGACAAUCAAGAGUACUGGAGGGAGCUUUUGGUGUUCCAUUGAACAAUUUUUGUCAUAUUUUAUCAAUGUAAAUGACACAAUAUUUCUUAACGUUUUUUGCAUGUAAAUAGCCCAAAGUUCCAUAACCUUUUGUAUGUAAGUACUGCUGUUGAUAUCACAAAAACUACCCAAGUGGAAUGUGUAAUAUUCUAUGUACAUAGAUAGCCAACACUUCUACAAUUUUAUGUGGAGUAUCAAUUAAAUAUAGCAAUGAAUUGUAUUAA
Malus domestica (apple) is the source of this 1200-nucleotide long non-coding RNA. RefSeq lists it as uncharacterized. NCBI's taxonomy places the organism in Eukaryota, Viridiplantae, Streptophyta, Magnoliopsida, Rosales, Rosaceae. The record is from RefSeq and is a predicted model, not a curated record.